Long non-coding RNA from Gastrolobium bilobum, 1073 nucleotides. RefSeq lists it as uncharacterized. NCBI's taxonomy places the organism in Eukaryota, Viridiplantae, Streptophyta, Magnoliopsida, Fabales, Fabaceae. The record is from RefSeq and is a predicted model, not a curated record. The transcript has 5 exons.
ACAAAUUCCUGUGUCGCAAAUGUAUUUGUGACGAAAUUUGAUUAUUUGUGUCAAAAAUUAUCAUUUGUGACAAUAUUUGUGACGAAAACAUUUCGUCACAAAUAAACUUUUUUCUUGUAGUGUGAGUUUUGUCAAUUAUUCAGAACAGCACAUGAUCCCUCUUAUCCUCUCGUCAAACUGUGAGUACAACAAGAAACAAAGUCAGAAACUCAGCCAACCAUUCCUUUCUCAAACCGUAAACCAUCAUGAAGAACACACACAAUCUUAAUUUGCAUGUCUUUUCCCCUCAUCUCCACUCUUAGCCGUGAGUUCCUAAGAGACGAAACACCAUUCAAGCCUCCUUCUUUCUAUUCCUCAUUGAUUCGACAGAAUGCAGCAGCCAAGAGGACUGCACAUUGAAACCAUCAACCAUUCCCCUUCUCUUGUUCGGCCGAAGGCCAAUCUCAAGGAGUUAGAGCACAAGCCUACUUUUGUUCCUCUCCACCCUUGUUCAGCCGAUGACACAUCCAAGGAGUCUUAAGUUCGAAUUCUUGAGUAUUUGAAGUAAGAGGUGGCUGCCAUCACUGAAAUCCGAAACCGUUUGAUGCAGCCAAGGAGACAACUCCCUUGGAUGCAUACAGGGGAAGGUGUCACAGUGACCUGUGGAGAGUAGAAGAUGUGGACUUUAACUCAAACGUUGGUGAUUACCUCUUGGACUGAUUUGGGGAUCGGUUGUGUGUAUGCAAGAAGAGGUGCGCAAGGCCCCAAAUAAUUGGGCUGUUUGUUGAUGUUUGGAAUGCUUGGUUAAAAAGCUAAAGUGUCAAGGAGGACUUAGAAGCAUUUAAGGAAGUGUUUGAUGACAUGAUUACAUGACAAUUCUGUUAAGUUAUGCUGUUGACAACCUUACUGUUUGCUCGCUGUCUCUGUUGAGUGUAUUCUGAAUAUUUGACCUUGAUGUAGUUUCUUAAAGAAUGGCUUGCCAUGAUGUAUAUUAUGUUUUGAAAAGAAGUGUAGCAUGAUGUUUAUAAUUCUGCUAAUUAGUUUGCGAAAAGAAUUGCUGUUGUACUUAAAUUCGGAUUUUUGAACUGUUUUUG